This 256-nucleotide ribosomal RNA is filed under the name uncultured bacterium. RNAcentral describes it as "partial 16S ribosomal RNA". It matches the Rfam family "Bacterial small subunit ribosomal RNA", at positions 522 to 777 of the family's 1533-position model. The record is from RNAcentral.
UACGGGGGGGGGGCAAGCGUUGUUCGGAAUUACUGGGCGUAAAGGGCGCGUAGGCGGCCUGCUAAGUCGGAUGUGAAAUCCCUCGGCUCAACCGAGGAACUGCAUCCGAUACUGGCGGGCUUGAAUCCGGGAGAGGGAUGUGGAAUUCCAGGUGUAGCGGUGAAAUGCGUAGAUAUCUGGAGGAACACCGGUGGCGAAGGCGGCAUCCUGGACCGGUAUUGACGCUGAGGCGCGAAAGCUAGGGGAGCAAACGGGG